GACAAAAAAAUAGAGCAAAAGAAUUUUUAGUUUUUAGUUUUAACUUUUGAUCUUCGAGUCAAACGAUAUGCCACAGCUUCGGUGAUCUCAAAGAAUAAUUGAGACAAAAUUUUUUUUUUCUUCUUUUGACAAACAAUAUUAUCUACACUAAUAAAAAGGAAGUGAGUUUAGUCUCACAAUGAGCUGGUAAUAAUGUGAUUCAAAUUCACGACGAGAAUCGAAUAUAAAACUUUUCACUUACAAGUAAAGAGAAAUAUCUCUAAACAUAAUACUAACAACAACAAAGCCUUUUCCCACUAAGUGGGGUCGGCUAUAUGAAUCCUAGAACGCCAUUGCGCUCGGUUUUGUGUCAUGUCCUCCGUUAGAUCCAAGUACUCAAGUCUUUUCCUAGGGUCUCUUCCAAAGUUUUCCUAGGUCUUUCUCUACCCCUUCGGUCCUGAACCUCUGUCCCGUAAUCACAUUUUCGAACCGGAGCGUCAGUAGGCCUUCUUUGCACAUGUCCAAACCACCGGAACCGAUUUUCUCUCAUAUUUCCUUCAAUUUUGGCUACUCCUACUUUACCUCGGAUAUCCUCAUUCUCAAUCUUGUCCUUUCUCGUGUGCCCAUACAUCCCACGAAGCAUCCUCAUCUCCGCUACACCCAUUUUGUGUACGUGUUGAUGCUUCACCACCCAACAUUCUGUGCCAUACAACAUCGCGGCCUUAUUGCCGUCCUAUAAAUUUUCCCUUGAGCUUCAGUGGCCUACGACGGUCACACAACACGCCGGAUGCACUCUUACACUUCAUCCAUCCAGCUUGUAUUCUAUGGUUGAGAUCUCCAUCUAAGUCUUCGUUCUCUUGCAAGAUAGAUCCUAGGUAGCGAAAACGGUCACUUUUUGUGAUCUUCGCUAGAUUGCUCCGGUCAUUAGUGUGGAUAAGUAUAUAAAUGGAUAGAGAUAGGAAAGCAAACACAAGAUGUACGUGGUUCACCCAGAUUGGCUACGUCCACGGAAUAGAGGAGUUCUCAUUAAUUGUAAAGGGUUUACACAAGUACAUAGGUUCAAGCUCUCCUUUAGUGAGUACAAGUGAAUGAUUUAGUACAAAUGACAUUAGGAAAUAUUGUGGGAGAAUGAUCUCGUAACCACGAAACUUCUAAGUACCGGAGUGUGGUAUCGUCUUGACUUUCCUUAUCUGUCUCAUAGGUAGAUAUGGCAUCUUCUCUGGAAGUACUCUUCCUCCAUCCAGGGGUGGUAUCUGUAACUGGUGGAGAUGCACAAGGUAAUGUAUCAAUUUCACUUGAAGCUUACUUGUAGUUUCAGGCUUGGUCAAGUGCGAUACAAACCAUGUAGUAGGAGUCCCCAAGUCGCCGAGCUAGGGGAUCUGCUGAAAGAGGUGACAGACAAGGUAAGCAAUCAGGGGCUGAUUGUUCACAUUCUCCCUAUCUUGCAGGCAGCAUGAAGGAUAAAGAGAAGAAAAAUGAGAAGAGAUGAUAUGGGAUACUUUUGCUUUUGAAGAAGUAACUUUCCACAGGCUUAUUCUUGAACUGGGCUGGAGGGUUUUCUGGUUUCCUCCUGAGUAUAAGGCCGACUGAAGAAUUUGAGGGUCAAAACAAGUCCAUCAAAUCUAGAGUACGUUCGACCCUGCUGAUAUGGGAUACUUUUGCUUUUGACAGAGUAGUGGAUGUAUCGGCACGUGUGCUGGUACGCUUGUCUCCACAUGCUUCCUUAUAUCCUUCUCACUUGCCCUAUCUCUUCCUCAGGCAGAUGCGGUAUCUUCCCUGGAAGCAUAAGAUGUUGAAGAUGAGUACUCGAGAGCAAUGCCAGGUAAGUAAUCAGGUAAGGGGUUCCAGGCAGUCAGUUCCUGGCUAGAAGCUUGAUUCCAAGUGCUGACUGAUUGCUCUCUUUCUCCUUGUCUUGCAGGUAAGAACAAGGGCAAAGGAAAAGACAGGGAAAAAGCAUGAUAUGGGAUACUCUUGCUUUUAACCCUGAUGAUAUGAGAUAUUCUUGCUCUAGUAUAGCUUGUUUACAGAGGUGUUAUCGGGGGGAAAGAAAGCUGAAUAUUUCGAAAGGCUUCGUUGGGAGUGCCCUCUCAGAUAAGAGGAAGGGUUGAGCAUUUUUGCAGGUCUGCCUGUCCGUUGGGGAUGGAGGUCGACAUAUAUAGGAGUCUCCCUAACAUCAAGUAAUAAUGUUAUUCCUUUACCCUGCUUGGUCAUAGCACGGUAGUGGGAGCUGUCAGCUUCACAUGUUUUAACUCUGUCAGAGCACUUUGAAAAAGUGGUAUGUGGUAUCUGGAAAGCUGAUGUUGCGUGUGAAGAUUACAGACAAGCUUUAUCCAAGGAGAUCCAGCUCUUGAAGUUGGGAAAGUUGUGCCUCUUCGGUUUUUGAACAAGCAAUCCUGUCGGGGAUCUGGCUCUCGAGAUUCGGAGAACGAUGCCUCUUCGACUUUUGAGAAAGCAAUCUUGCUGGGGGUCUGGCCCUCGAGAUUCGGAGAGCGGUGUCUCUUCGAUUUUUGAGAAAGUAAUCAUGUUGGGACUCUGGCUCUCGAGAUUCGGAGGGCGGUGCCUCUUCGAUUUUGGAGCAAGCAAUCUUGUUGGGAGUGUUUUCUCGAAUGUGAGUAAAGGUUGGGCAUGUUUGCUAGUCUACCUUGCCACGAAGCACAGAGGUUGACACACAGGGACUUUCCAAUUAUCCAGCAGUGGUACUGUUCCUUUACCCUCUCUUCGAUUUUUGAGAAAGUAAUCAUGUUGGGAGUCUGGCUCUCGAGAUUCGGAGGGCGAUGCCUCUUCGAUUUUGGAGCAAGCAAUCUUGUUGGGAGUGUUUUCUCGAAUGUGAGUAAAGGUUGGGCAUGUUUGCUAGUCUACCUUGCCACGAAGCACAGAGGUUGACACACAGGGACUUUCCAAUUAUCCAGCAGUGGUACUGUUCCUUUACCCUCUCUUCGAUAUUUGAGAAAGUAAUCAUGUUGGGAGUCUGGCUCUCGAGAUUCGGAGGGCGGUGCCUCUUCGAUUUUGGAGCAAGCAAUCUUGUUGGGAGUGUUUUCUCGAAUGUGAGUAAAGGUUGGGCAUGUUUGCUAGUUUACCUUGCCACGAAGCACAGAGGUUGACACACCGGGACUUUCCAAUUAUCCAGCAGUGGUACUGUUCCUUUACCCUUGUGGGUAAUAAUAUGGUUGCUAGACCUUCAAAAUUUAUGUGUCUAAACUUUGUUAGUGUUGUUUCUUUGCUAUUCUUUUACCCUUCUUGGUCAGAGCGAUGUAGUGUGAGCUGCAAGCUUCACGUGUCUCAACUUUGUCAGAGAACUUUGGCAAAGUUAUCUGUGGUACCCAUGAGCUACUAUUGCGUGUGGGAAGUGGGUGAUUGAACAGUACGAUUCAUGUGCUUUCUACUUCGUCAGAAAUUUUCGACAGAAUGCCCAUAAUUUCCGCAAAGCUGAGUGUGCGUGUGACAGGUGCUGACAAGGCUGGAAAAGUAGGUGCCUCUUCGAUUUCUGAGAUCGGCCCUCGUGGUCUCUGAGCAGCCCAGCUUUUGAGAAAGCAAGCCUCUUUGAUUUCUGAGAUCGGCCUUCGUGGUCUUUGAGCAGCCCAGCUUUUGAGAAAGCAAACGCCUCUUCAAUUUCUGAGAUCGACCCUCAUGGUCUCUGAGCAGCCCAGCUUUUGAGAAAGCAAACGCCUCUUCGAUUUAUGAGCAGGCGCCUCUUCGAUUUCUGAAGCUUCGUCGAGUGCAGAUUUUUAUAGGGGCUGACAUUAAGUUCCAAAGCACACUUGAAUAUCCACCAGUAGAAGCUCCAUUCUUGCACUUCUAAGAUCUUGAUUUGUCCGACCUCUUCUCUCUUCAACACCUUUGAAAAUGUCUGGCCCCUCCGACCGUCGUUUUGACUUGAACCUUGUUGAAGAGGCAGCCCCGCCUUCUCCAGACAACAUAUGACACCCAUCCUUCGUCUCCUCUACUGGUCCUCUUACCGUUGGGGAUUCCGUGAUGAAUAAUGAUAUGACCGCUGCGGUAGUGGCCAGGAACCUUCUCACUCCCAAAAAUAACAGACUACUUUCCAAACGGUCUGAUGAGUUGGCUGUUAAGGAUUCUCUGGCUCUCAGUGUUCAGUGUGCAGGUUCUGUGUCUAAUAUGGCCCAACGCCUAUUUGCUCGAACCCACCAAGUUGAAUCAUUGGCGGCUGAAGUGAUGAGUCUCAAACAGGAGAUUAAAGGGCUCAAGCAUGAGAAUAAACAGUUGCACCGGCUCGCACAUAACUAUGCUACAAAUAUGAAAAUGAAGCUUGACCAAAUGAAGGAAUCUGAUGGUCAGGUUUUACUUGAUCAUCAGAGAUUUGUGGGUUUGUUCCAAAGGCAUUUAUUGCCUUCGUCUUCUGGGGCUGUACCGCGUAAUGAAGCUCCAAAUGAUCAACCUCUGAUGCCUCCUCCUUCUAGGGUUCUGUUCAGUACUGAGGCUCCGAAUGAUCCCCCUCCGGUGCCUUCUCUUUCUAGGGCUCUACCGACUGCUGAGACUUCUCCUAAGCAACCUUUGUGAAGGCUCCCUCUUGUUUGUUUAUUUUGACUCAAGUAUAUGUACAUAUUUGUAACUUAUCGGGGAUAUCAAUAAAUAAGCUUUCCUUCAUUUCAACGUAUUGUGUUAAAUACACCAAAGCCUUCUUCACUAAGUUCUUUGAAUUUUCUUUUGUUGAAGCUUGUAUGUUGAAGCUUUGUGAGUGGAGCAUGUAGGUUAAGGUAGUGUUCCCUUAAUUUCCCGAGUGAGGAAAACUUCUCGGUUGGAGACUUGGAAAAUCCAAGUCACUGAGUGGGAUCGGCUAUAUGAAUCUUAGAACGCCAUUGUGUUCUGUCCUGUGUCAUGUCCUCCGUUAGAUCCAAGUACUCUAAGUCUUUUCUUAGGGUCUCUUCCAAAGUUUUCCUAGGUCUUUCUCUACCCCUUCGGCCCUGAAUCUCUGUCCCAUAGUCGCAUCUUCUAAUCGGAGCGUCAGUAGGCCUUCUUUGCACAUGUCCAAACCACCGUAACCGAUUUUCUCUCAUCUUUCCUUCAAUUUCGGCUACUCCUACUUUACCCCGGAUAUCCUCAUUCCUAAUCUUAUCCUUUCUCGUGUGCUCACACAUCCAACGAAGCAUCCUCAUCUCCGCUACACCCAUUUUGUAUACGUGUUGAUGCUUCACCGCCCAACAUUCUGUGCCAUACAGCAUCGCCGGCCUUAUUGCCGUCCUAUAAAAUUUUCCCUUGAGCUUCAGUGGCAUACGACGGUCACACAACACGUCGGAUGCACUCUUCCACUUCAUCCAUCCAGCUUGUAUUCUAUGGUUGAGAUCUCCAUCUAAUUCUCCGUUCUUUUGCAAGAUAGAUCUUAGGUAACGAAAACGGUCGCUCUUUGGUAUUUCUUGAUCUCCGAUCCUCACCCUUAACUCGUUUUGGCCUCCAUUUGCACUGAACUUGCACUCCAUAUAUUCUGUCUUUGAUCGGCUUAGGCGAAAACCUUUAGAUUCCAACACUUCUCUCCAAAGGUUAAGCUUUGCAUUUACCCAUUCCUGAGUUUCAUCUAUCAACACUAUAUCGUCUGCGAAAAAUAUACACCAAGGAAUAUCAUCUUGAAUAUGUCCUGUUAACUCAUCCAUUACCAACGCAAAAAGGUAAGGACUUAAGGAUGAACCUUGAUGUAAUCCUACAGUUAUGGGAAAGCUUUCGGUUUGUCCUUCAUGAGUUCUUACGGUAGUCUUUGCUCCUUCAUACAUAUCCUUUAUAACUUGGAUAUAUGCUACUCGUACUCCUUUCUUCUCUAAAAUCCUCCAAAGAAUGUCUCUUGGGACCCUAUCAUACGCUUUUUCCAAAUCUAUAAAGACCAUGUGUAAAUCCUUUUUCCCAUCUCUAUAUCUUUCCAUCAAUCUUCGUAAGAGAUAGAUUGCCUCCAUGGUUGAGCGCCCUGGCAUGAACCCAAAUUGGUUGUUCGAAACCCGUGUCUCUUGCCUAAAUCUAUGCUCAAUGACUCUCUCCCAGAGCUUCAUUGUAUGACUCAUUAGCUUAAUACCCCUAUAGUUCAUGUAAUUUUGUACAUCGCCCUUAUUCUUGUAGAUAGGCACCAAAGUGCUCGUUCGCCACUCAUUUGGCAUCUUCUUCGUUUUCAAAAUCCUAUUAAAAAGGUCAGUGAGCCAUGUUAUACCUGUCUCUCCCAAAACUUUCCACACUUCGAUUGGUAUAUCGUCUGGGCCUACUGCUUUUCUAUGCUUCAUCUUCUUCAAAGCUACAACCACUUCUUCCUUCCGGAUUCUACGAUAAAAAGAGUAGUUUCUACACUCUUUUGAGUUACUCAACUCCCCUAAAGAAGCACUCCUUUCAUGUCCUUCAUUGAAAAGAUUAUGAAAAUAACAUCUCCAUCUGUCUUUAACCGCGUUCUCUGUAGCAAGAACCUUUCCAUCCUCAUCCUUGAUGCACCUCACUUGGUUUAGGUCUCUUGUCUUCUUUUCCCUUGCUCUAGCUAGUUUAUAGAUAUCCAACUCUCAUUCUUUGGUAUCUAGUCGCUUAUACAUAUCGUCAUAAGCCGCUAACUUAGCUUCUCUCACAGCUUUCUUCGCCUCUUGCUUCGCUUUUCUAUACCUUUCACCAUUUUCAUCGGUCCUAUCCUUGUAUAAAGCUUUACAACAUUCCUUCUUAGUCUUCACCUUUAUUUGUACCUCCUCAUUCCACCACCAAGAUUCCUUUUGGUGUGGGGCAAAGCCCUUGGACUCUCCUAAUACCUCUUUUGCUACUUUUCGGAUACAACUAGCCAUGGAAUCCCACAUUUGGUUAGCUUCCCCCUCUCUAUCCCACACACACUGGGUGAUUACUUUCUCUUUGAAAAUGGCUUGUUUUUCUUCUUUUAGAUUCCACCAUCUAGUCCUUGGGCACUUCCAAGUCUUGUUCUUUUUUCUCACUCUUUUGAUAUGUACGUCCAUCACCAACAAGCGAUGUUGAUUAGCCACGCUCUCUCCUGGUAUAACUUUGCAAUCCUUACAAGUUAUACGAUCCCCUUUCCUCAUUAGAAGAAAAUCUAUUUGUGUUUUUGACGACUCACUCUUGUAGGUGAUCACAUGUUCUUCUCUAUUCUUAAAGAAGGUGUUGGCUAAGAAGAGAUCAUAUGCCAUUGCAAAAUCCAAGAUAGCUUCCCCAUCCUCGUUUCUCUCCCCAAAACCAUGGCCACCAUGAAAACCUUCAUAGUUGCCUGUCUCCCUGCCCACAUGUCCAUUUAAAUCUCCUCCUAUAAAUAACUUCUCCGUCUGAGCAAUUCCUUGCACCAAGUCUCCAAGGUCUUCCCAAAAUUUCUCCUUCGAACUCGUAUCCAACCCUACUUGAGGUGCGUACGCACUAAUCACAUUGAUAAGUUCUUGUCCUAUUACAAUCUUGAUUGCCAUGAUUCUAUCUCCUACCCUCUUGACAUCUACAACAUCUUGUGUCAAGGUCUUAUCCACGAUGAUGUCAACACCGUUUCUCGUUCUAUUUGUGCCCGAAUACCAUAGUUUAAACCCUGAGUUUUCUAGAUCCUUUGCCUUACGACCAACCCACUUAGUUUCUUGUAGGCACAUAAUAUUUAUCUUUCUAAACAUAAUACUAAGCGGCAAUAAAAACAUUUUCUUAUUAAAACAUCUUUUUCUCGGUUUCUUUUUACUUUUAUUUUUUAUUCGUAA
RNAcentral lists this long non-coding RNA (7628 nucleotides) under Malus domestica (apple). RNAcentral describes it as "long non-coding RNA (MDOM_LNC009799)". The record is from RNAcentral. Lineage: Eukaryota; Viridiplantae; Streptophyta; Magnoliopsida; Rosales; Rosaceae.